GACGAGCCCGUCCUAACGUUGUUCGGAUUCACUGGGCUUAAAGGGCGCGUAGGCGGGUGAGCAAGUCCGGGGUGAAAUCUUUCGGCUUAACCGGAAAACUGCCUUGGAUACUGCUCGUCUAGAGGGAGGUAGGGGUCUGUGGAACUUCCGGUGGAGCGGUGAAAUGCGUUGAUAUCGGAAGGAACGCCGGUGGCGAAAGCGACGGACUGGACCUCUUCUGACGCUGAGGCGCGAAAGCUAGGGUAGCGAACGGGAUUAGAUACCCGU
RNAcentral lists this ribosomal RNA (267 nucleotides) under uncultured bacterium. RNAcentral describes it as "partial 16S ribosomal RNA". It matches the Rfam family "Bacterial small subunit ribosomal RNA", at positions 524 to 790 of the family's 1533-position model. The record is from RNAcentral.